RNAcentral lists this ribosomal RNA (468 nucleotides) under uncultured bacterium. RNAcentral describes it as "partial 16S ribosomal RNA". It matches the Rfam family "Bacterial small subunit ribosomal RNA", at positions 28 to 507 of the family's 1533-position model. The record is from RNAcentral.
GACGAACGCUGGCGGCGUGCUUAACACAUGCAAGUCGAACGGAAAGGCCCUGCUUUUGUGGGGUGCUCGAGUGGCGAACCGGUGAGUAACACGUGAGUAACCUGCCCUUGACUUUGGGAUAACUUCAGGAAACUGGGGCUAAUACCGGAUAGGAGCUCCUGCUGCAUGGUGGGGGUUGGAAAGUUUCGGCGGUUGGGGAUGGACUCGCGGCUUAUCAGCUUGUUGGUGGGGUAGUGGCUUACCAAGGCUUUGACGGGUAGCCGGCCUGAGAGGGUGACCGGCCACAUUGGGACUGAGAUACGGCCCAGACUCCUACGGGAGGCAGCAGUGGGGAAUAUUGCACAAUGGGCGGAAGCCUGAUGCAGCAACGCCGCGUGCGGGAUGACGGCCUUCGGGUUGUAAACCGCUUUCGCCUGUGACGAAGCGUGAGUGACGGUAAUGGGUAAAGAAGCACCGGCUAACUACAUG